CAACCAGUCAGUGCCAUGCUGGAGCAGAAGUCGGGCUCCUUCAUGACCAGUCUCUGUGACGAGAGGGGCCAUUUCCAUGCUUCCCAGGCAACCACCGCAGCAGGAAUGGUGUGAUACAAGCUUUCCCAAGGCAAAGAAGGGGGAUAUGCUGUGAAGCCUGUGAAGACAGACCCAGCGUACUACAGGCUUCUGGAUCUCCUCUUCAGCAAGGUCGCCCUUCAUCCAGAGCCGUAUGUGGGGAAGCUGUGCGAACUGUCCAUCCCAGGACUUCUGUCUGCCCAGUGUGAGGAGGCCAUAGCUGGAUUUGUCUACCGCUUCAAUCUUGGGGGUGACUGAAGCCUGUUUGAUUGAAGUACGGCACAUGGGUCCCCCACCGCUCCCCUCCCUAUCAAUCUCUGUAGUUGGUUGCAUUUCCUAAAGCCUUAGUAAUUCACUUUUACAUGAUAAGAUGUCACAUUUUGUUACUUUCUAUUGUAUUUUUCAAGCAUUCGAACGGGAGACGAGUGUUACAAAUUUUACGAAUCAAUGUGGAACUGCACACUUCUAGGGUGGCCGG
This 556-nucleotide long non-coding RNA is filed under the name Salmo salar (Atlantic salmon). Its description in RNAcentral is "lncRNA (ENSSSAG00000096113.1)". Lineage: Eukaryota; Metazoa; Chordata; Actinopteri; Salmoniformes; Salmonidae. The record is from RNAcentral.